RNAcentral lists this ribosomal RNA (253 nucleotides) under uncultured bacterium. RNAcentral describes it as "partial 16S ribosomal RNA". It matches the Rfam family "Bacterial small subunit ribosomal RNA", at positions 524 to 776 of the family's 1533-position model. The record is from RNAcentral.
UACGGAGGGUGCAAGCGUUAUCCGGAAUCACUGGGCGUAAAGGGCGCGUAGGCUGUCUGUUAAGUCCGAUGUUAAAGACUGGGGCUCAACCCCAGCAUUGCGUUGGAUACUGGCAGACUUGACGGUUGGAGAGGCGAGUGGAAUUACCAGUGUAGCGGUGAAAUGCGUAGAUACUGGUAGGAACACCCAUUGCGAAGGCAGCUCGCUGGACAACACGUGACGCUGAGGCGCGAAAGUGUGGGGAGCAAACCGG